RNAcentral lists this unclassified non-coding RNA (379 nucleotides) under soil metagenome. Its description in RNAcentral is "partial contains 5.8S ribosomal RNA, internal transcribed spacer 2, and large subunit ribosomal RNA". The stretch from base 1 to 120 matches the Rfam family "5.8S ribosomal RNA", at positions 35 to 154 of the family's 154-position model. The record is from RNAcentral.
GAUGAAGAACGUAGCGAAAUACGAUAAGUAAUGUGAAUUGCAGAAUUCAGUGAAUCAUCGAAUCUUUGAACGCACAUUGCGCCCGCCAGUAUUCUGGCGGGCAUGCCUGUUCGAGCGUCAUUUCAACCCUCAAGCCCCAGCGGCCUGGUGUUGGGGACCGGCGACCUCGCCCGAGCCCGCCCUCCGGGGCGCGUGCCCGGUGCGUCCGCCGCCCCCGAAAUGAAUUGGCGGCCUCGUCGCGGCCUCCUCUGCGUAGUAGCACAACCUCGCAAGCGGGAGCGCGACGCGGCCACUGCCGUAAAACGCCCAACUUUUUUAGAGUUGACCUCGGAUCAGGUAGGAAUACCCGCUGAACUUAAGCAUAUCAAUAAGCGGAGGA